CGGCACCUCAAGUGGUCAGGAUGAUUAUUGGGCCUAAAGCAUCCGUAGCCGGCGCUGUAAGUUUUCGGUUAAAUCUGUACGCUCAACGUACAGGCUGCCGGGAAUACUGCAGCGCUAGGGAGUGGGAGAGGUAGACGGUACUCGGUAGGAAGGGGUAAAAUCCUUUGAUCUAUUGAUGACCACCUGUGGCGAAGGCGGUCUACUAGAACACGUCCGACGGUGAGGGAUGAAAGCUGGGGGAGCAAAACGGAUUAGAUACCCGAGUAGUC
This 269-nucleotide ribosomal RNA is filed under the name uncultured archaeon. RNAcentral's name for it is "partial 16S ribosomal RNA". It matches the Rfam family "Archaeal small subunit ribosomal RNA", at positions 477 to 746 of the family's 1478-position model. The record is from RNAcentral.